CAGCAGCCGCGGUAAUACGGAGGGGGCUAGCGUUGUUCGGAAUUACUGGGCGUAAGGCGCACGUAGGCGGCUUGGUAAGUUAGAGGUGAAAGCCUGGAGCUCAACUCCAGAAUUGCCUUUAAGACUGCCGAGCUAGCAGGUGAGAGAGGUAAGUGGAAUUCCGAGUGUAGAGGUGAAAUUCGUAGAUAUUCGGAAGAACACCAGUGGCGAAGGCGGCUUACUGGCUCAUACUGGACGCUGAGGUGCGAAAGCGUGGGGAGCAAACAGGAUUAGAUACCCCUGUAGUCCCUGUCUCUUAUAC
Molecule: ribosomal RNA, 301 nt
Filed under: uncultured bacterium
Lineage: Bacteria
Description: partial 16S ribosomal RNA
Rfam family: Bacterial small subunit ribosomal RNA
Source: RNAcentral